AUUGCAGGCUGCAACUCGCCUGCAUGAAGUUGGAAUUGCUAGUAAUCGCGAAUCAGAAUGUCGCGGUGAAUACGUUCCCGGGCCUUGUACACACCGCCCGUCACACCAUGAGAGUCGAUAACACCCGAAGCCUGUGAGCUAACCGCGAGGAGGCAGCAGUCGAAGGUGGGGUUGAUGAUUGGGGUGAAGUCGUAACAAGGUAAC
This 204-nucleotide ribosomal RNA is filed under the name uncultured bacterium. Its description in RNAcentral is "partial 16S ribosomal RNA". It matches the Rfam family "Bacterial small subunit ribosomal RNA", at positions 1297 to 1500 of the family's 1533-position model. The record is from RNAcentral.